GGUCGAGCAAGGAUGAAAAUCGGACUUAGUGAUCCGGUGGUUCUGCGUGGAAGGGCCAUCGCUCAACGGAUAAAAGCUACCCUGGGGAUAACAGGCUUAUCUCCCCCAAGAGUCCACAUCGACGGGGAGGUUUGGCACCUCGAUGUCGGCCCAUCACAUCCUGGGGCUGUAGUAGGUCCCAAGGGUUGGGCUGUUCGCCCAUUAAAGUGGUACGCGAGCUGGGUUCAGAACGUCGUGAGACAGUUCGGUCCCUAUCCGUCGCAGGCGUAGGAAAUUUGAGAAGACCUGUCCUUAGUACGAGAGGACCGGGAUGGACGUACCUCUGGUGUACCAGUUGUUCUGCCAAGGGCAUGGCUGGGUAGCUAUGUACGGAAUGGAUAAGCGCUGAAAGCAUCUAAGCGCGAAGCCAACUUCAAGAUAAGAUUUCCCACCGCAAGGGUAAGACCCCAGAAAGACUAUCUGGUUGAUAGGUCGAAGGUGUAAGUGCAGCAAUGUAUUUAGCUUAUCGAUACUAAUAGGUUGAGGACUGGACCAAAUU
Molecule: ribosomal RNA, 538 nt
Filed under: Clostridioides difficile
Lineage: Bacteria; Bacillati; Bacillota; Clostridia; Peptostreptococcales; Peptostreptococcaceae
Description: partial 23S ribosomal RNA
Rfam family: Bacterial large subunit ribosomal RNA
Source: RNAcentral